CUAGGUAGGAUAUUACCCAUUAUGCUUGAAAGGAGAACUGUUGAAAUGUGAAGAGACUUUAAGCAAUGGAAAGUCAUCUGCCUGAAUUUGUGAAGAGCGUAAGAACAACAAGUCUGAGAUGUGAUUUCACCAGUUAUUUUGAGCCAGUGCUUCUGCUGAUGACUCUGCUGGUACUGUGAGAAGUGCAUACCUGUUGCACAGUUCCAGGGGAGGAGUGAACCUGGUGUUGUGUGCCCUGGUACCUGAGAUGACCAUCUUCCAAGCAAAACUGGGAUGGGAUUCCAGGGCUCAGCUCUGUAAAAGGGCAUCAGACGCUGCAGAUGCCAAAUUGGAAGGACUGGAAGCUCCUGAAAUGGCUUUCUGGUGGCUGCAUUUCUCCCUCUGUCUGGAUUCCUGUCAGUCCAGUCAAUUGGAAGGACGGAAGAAAGAACACCAAUAUUCUGACUCAAGCAAACACAACCAGCAUUGAAACCAUGUUCAUAUAGCACUGGCUCUUUUGGACAAGACAAGUCUGAAGAAUGCCUGACAAGCAGCUUUCAAAACAGGCCCUAUACUACAAGUUCACUGAUGGUCUUCAAGGUGUUCUUGAAUCUCUUCUUUGGCCCACCUUCUACAAUCUGAAGAAAUGCAAUAUUACAUAAAUAGCUGGGAGAGUUACUUGUCCCUAGGGCAUACCUGUGGUGCACCCUCUGGCAUGCAGCAGGUUACCCUAGGUAAGGUAAGGAAGGCUGGGGCCAGCAACUGUGCUGGCUCCAGUAGCCUUAUUUGAGGUCCUGAAGGCCUCAAGGAGCUUUAGCCUGCAGCUAAGAGCCUGGUCAGCAGCCGGAAUGUGGCUCCAUCUGGCCAGGCUCCAGUUUUGGGUGGCAUGCACUGCUGCCAUGUGUGCCAGCCCACUUUUUUUUUGGCAUGCUGUAAAGUAGUGGUGCAAAGAAUACCUACAUGUGCAGUAUGUGGUGCCAAAGGCAGGUUUAUGGUGUCACAUAGUGCAUGCCCAUUUUGUCUAGACACAUGAUGUAUGAGGCAUUUUGAGCAAACUUGCCUCACUAAUGAGGCAGAUGAGAGAGAUGAAGUGAAAACAUUUUGACCUGACAUCUCCUUCCUCUCAAAACUAUUUAUGACAUCAAUAAUCAAACAUGUGGAUCUUGGCUUGAACUCCUCAGUCACCUAUAGACUCAUCAAUGGCUUCCCUAUUACCAUGCCUAAUGAUUUAUUCUAACUGUGACGGUCAUCCUUUGAUGACAGCA
This is a long non-coding RNA of Alligator mississippiensis (American alligator), 1244 nucleotides long. RefSeq lists it as uncharacterized. The record is from RefSeq and is a predicted model, not a curated record. The transcript is spliced from 4 exons. NCBI's taxonomy places the organism in Eukaryota, Metazoa, Chordata, Crocodylia, Alligatoridae.